RNAcentral lists this long non-coding RNA (1279 nucleotides) under Dermacentor andersoni. RNAcentral describes it as "uncharacterized LOC126529222". The record is from RNAcentral. Lineage: Eukaryota; Metazoa; Arthropoda; Arachnida; Ixodida; Ixodidae.
CGGGCAUAACAUAACGCCUGCACCGCAUCUGCACCUUGCCAUUCGUUUCGAGUGUUGCGCUGUGCCUGCACCGCAGAAACAAGCUGCACAAUUUCUGAAUUUCUUGUGAACCUCCGUUAACUGGUUCACAGUUGUGCAGGUGAAUUGAAGAGACCUUUUAAGUGCUUCCACAUGAACUUCUUAUUUGCCCUUACGUUGCUUGGUGGCCUGAUGGCUGCUUUGAUUCAAUUGAUUCAAAUGUGAGAUUCAACAUUGAAAAAAAUUCAAGGAUAUGAAUGCUCAUGAAGGCCAAAAUUCAGUGACAUACAAAUGCAUUAAUUCUACACAUAAACUAAAUAUUGUCAAAUUUCCUAUUUCCUAGCUACAUUCAGUUAAGCAUGCUACUAAGUUGGAAUUGCUGGAAAAGUGUAAAAAAGGCAAUUCUCUUUUAUAGUGUAGAGUGUUGACUGAUAACUGCCCUUACGGCCAGAAUUGGCGUGCUUACCUUGAGGAGGAUGCUUUAGUUCAGUGCCAACUCUAAUCUCUUUAUUCAAAUACAUGUAAAAUGCAGAAAUGCUUUUGAGACAACUACUCGAAUAAUUUCAAUGAAAUUUGUUGCAUUUGAGAGAAAAAGUUAAAUUUUAGUCAUUCUAGGCUGCAUAAUUUUGAUUUAGGACCUUGAAUAUUUGGAAAAAUUGCUGAGAGUCAGUAAGCUUAAAAAAUAUAAGCACGAAGUUUGCAAUGUCAUAGCUUUUGUAUCAAGUUGUAAACUUCAUACGGAAGUCUUUUUAAUUUCACAAUUUUCAAAAUUUCCUGCCACAAUACAUUGCCCCUAAAACAGUGGCUACAUUCCAGCUUUUUUUUUUCUUUUUAACAUGUAACCAACCUCAUCUAAUUCCAUUGCUGGCUUCAGAGAAAAACUAUUUCUCUUUUCCCAUGUAUUCAGAUAGGAGCUCCCGAGAUAAAACUGCCUCUAAGUCAGGUAAAUCAUUGUAUUAAAGAACAUAAGGAGGAGGAGGACAAGAAAAAACAUUUAUUAAAGAAAAGAAAGGAAAAGCAGGUGUCUUUCUGCUUGUGUGGGAGGCGCCCUUAGUCCAGGACUCCUGCGGCUCUUGGUGUCUCCCGGGCUCGCCACACCUGGUGUAACAAGAAUUGUUUUCUCAUCUGAAUUUCUGGAGUAUACUUUUUCCUUUGUCAUAAGUGGAAAGGUAAUCAGCAACGUUCUCACACCUACACUGUCCUUAUUGAACUUUCCAAAAGGGGAACGUAUCCAAUAAAAUAAAGCACUAAUUUACUUUCA